RNAcentral lists this ribosomal RNA (427 nucleotides) under uncultured bacterium. RNAcentral describes it as "partial 16S ribosomal RNA". It matches the Rfam family "Bacterial small subunit ribosomal RNA", at positions 355 to 774 of the family's 1533-position model. The record is from RNAcentral.
UGGGGAAUAUUGCACAAUGGGCGCAAGCCUGAUGCAGCCAUGCCGCGUGUAUGAAGAAGGCCUUCGGGUUGUAAAGUACUUUCAGCGAGGAGGAAGGCGUUGUGGUUAAUAACCGCAGCGAUUGACGUUACUCGCAGAAGAAGCACCGGCUAACUCCGUGCCAGCAGCCGCGGUAAUACGGAGGGUGCAAGCGUUAAUCGGAAUUACUGGGCGUAAAGCGCACGCAGGCGGUGUGUCAAGUCGGAUGUGAAAUCCCCGGGCUCAACCUGGGAACUGCAUCCGAAACUGGCAGGCUAGAGUCUUGUAGAGGGGGGUAGAAUUCCAGGUGUAGCGGUGAAAUGCGUAGAGAUCUGGAGGAAUACCGGUGGCGAAGGCGGCCCCCUGGACAAAGACUGACGCUCAGGUGCGAAAGCGUGGGGAGCAAACA